UAUGAAAUUUUCUCAAGGACAUGAUGGC
This 28-nucleotide non-coding RNA is filed under the name Mus musculus (house mouse). The record is from RNAcentral. Lineage: Eukaryota; Metazoa; Chordata; Mammalia; Rodentia; Muridae.